RNAcentral lists this ribosomal RNA (505 nucleotides) under uncultured bacterium. RNAcentral describes it as "partial 16S ribosomal RNA". It matches the Rfam family "Bacterial small subunit ribosomal RNA", at positions 28 to 507 of the family's 1533-position model. The record is from RNAcentral.
GACGAACGCUGGCGGCGUGCCUAAUACAUGCAAGUCGAACGCACAGUUUAUACCGUAGCUUGCUACACCAUAAACUGUGAGUUGCGAACGGGUGAGUAACGCGUAGGUAACCUGCCUGGUAGCGGGGGAUAACUAUUGGAAACGAUAGCUAAUACCGCAUAAUAUUAAUUAUUGCAUGAUAAUUGAUUGAAAGAUGCAAUUGCAUCACUACCAGAUGGACCUGCGUUGUAUUAGCUAGUAGGUGAGGUAACGGCUCACCUAGGCGACGAUACAUAGCCGACCUGAGAGGGUGAUCGGCCACACUGGGACUGAGACACGGCCCAGACUCCUACGGGAGGCAGCAGUAGGGAAUCUUCGGCAAUGGACGAAAGUCUGACCGAGCAACGCCGCGUGAGUGAAGAAGGUUCUCGGAUCGUAAAGCUCUGUUGUAAGAGAAGAACGGGUGUGAGAGUGGAAAGUUCACACUGUGACGGUAUCUUACCAGAAAGAGACGGCUAACUACGUG